GACGAACGCUGGCGGCGUGCUUAACACAUGCAAGUCGAACGGAAAGUCCCUGCUUUUGUGGGGUGCUCGAGUUGCGAACGGGUGAGUAACACGUGAGUAACCUGCCCUUGACUUUGGGAUAACUUCAUGACACUGGGGCUAAUACUGGCUAGGAGCUCCUGCUGCAUGGUGGGGGUUGGAAAGUUUCGGCGGUUGGGGAUGGACUCGCGGCUUAUCAGCUUGUUGCUGGGGUAGUGGCUUACCAAGGCUUUGACGGGUAGCCGGCCUGAGAGGGUGACCGGCCAAAUUGGGACGGGGAUACGGCACAGACUCCUACGGGAGGCAGCAGUGGGGAAUAUUGCACAAUGGGAGGAGGCCUGAUGCAGCAACGCAGCGUGCGGGAUGACGGCAUUCGGGUUGUAAACCGAUUUCGCCUGUGACGAAGCGUGAGUGACGGUAAUGGGUAAAGAAGCACCGGCUAACUACGUG
Molecule: ribosomal RNA, 468 nt
Filed under: uncultured bacterium
Lineage: Bacteria
Description: partial 16S ribosomal RNA
Rfam family: Bacterial small subunit ribosomal RNA
Source: RNAcentral